UGGGGGAUAUUGCGCAAUGGGGGCAACCCUGACGCAGCAACGCCGCGUGAAGGAUGAAGGUUUUCGGAUUGUAAACUUCUUUUAUUAAGGACGAAAAUUGACGGUACUUAAUGAAUAAGCUCCGGCUAACUACGUGCCAGCAGCCGCGGUAAUACGUAGGGAGCAAGCGUUGUCCGGAUUUACUGGGUGUAAAGGGUGCGUAGGCGGCUUUGCAAGUCAGAUGUGAAAUCUAUGGGCUCAACCCAUAAACUGCAUUUGAAACUGUAGAGCUUGAGUGAAGUAGAGGCAGGCGGAAUUCCCCGUGUAGCGGUGAAAUGCGUAGAGAUGGGGAGGAACACCAGUGGCGAAGGCGGCCUGCUGGGCUUUAACUGACGCUGAGGCACGAAAGCGUGGGUAGCAAACAGG
This 405-nucleotide ribosomal RNA is filed under the name uncultured bacterium. RNAcentral's name for it is "bacterial SSU rRNA". It matches the Rfam family "Bacterial small subunit ribosomal RNA", at positions 355 to 776 of the family's 1533-position model. The record is from RNAcentral. RNAcentral also lists the same sequence under 2 other names.